GCUCCAGGGAUUAGUGGCGAACGGGUGAGUAACACGUGAGUAACCUGCCCUUGACUCUGGGAUAAGCGCUGGAAACGGCGUCUAAUACCGGAUACGAGCUUCAGCCGCAUGGCUAGGAGCUGGAAAGAACUUCGGUCAAGGAUGGACUCGCGGCCUAUCAGCUAGUUGGUGAGGUAAUGGCUCACCAAGGCGACGACGGGUAGCCGGCCUGAGAGGGUGACCGGCCACACUGGGACUGAGACACGGCCCAGACUCCUACGGGAGGCAGCAGUGGGGAAUAUUGCACAAUGGGCGAAAGCCUGAUGCAGCAACGCCGCGUGAGGGACGACGGCCUUCGGGUUGUAAACCUCUUUUAGUAGGGAAGAAGCGAAAGUGACGGUACCUGCAGAAAAAGCACCGGCUAACUACGUGCCAGCAGCCGCGGUAAUACGUAGGGUGCAAGCGUUGUCCGGAAUUAUUGGGCGUAAAGAGCUCGUAGGCGGUUUGUCGCGUCUGCUGUGAAAACUGGGGGCUCAACCCCCAGCCUGCAGUGGGUACGGGCAGACUAGAGUGCGGUAGGGGAGAUUGGAAUUCCUGGUGUAGCGGUGGAAUGCGCAGAUAUCAGGAGGAACACCGAUGGCGAAGGCAGAUCUCUGGGCCGCUACUGACGCUGAGGAGCGAAAGCAUGGGGAGCGAACAGGAUUAGAUACCCUGGUAGUCCAUGCCGUAAACGUUGGGAACUAGAUGUGGGGGC
This 733-nucleotide ribosomal RNA is filed under the name Actinomycetes bacterium. Its description in RNAcentral is "bacterial SSU rRNA". It matches the Rfam family "Bacterial small subunit ribosomal RNA", at positions 82 to 829 of the family's 1533-position model. The record is from RNAcentral. Lineage: Bacteria; Bacillati; Actinomycetota; Actinomycetes.